Molecule: long non-coding RNA, 2215 nt
Organism: Cylas formicarius (sweet potato weevil)
Lineage: Eukaryota; Metazoa; Arthropoda; Insecta; Coleoptera; Brentidae
Exons: 4
Source: RefSeq, a predicted model, not a curated record
UCGACUCUGGAACAGUAUUUUAUUGAGACUGAUUAAUAUGGCAAUGAGUUGAUGGCGUGAUGUUUGUGAAAUGUUAAAACGGACGCGUUUAUACGAGCUGAGACAAAAGAAUUUAGUGUAAACAUGUGUUUCACAUAAUCUUUCGUGGGACCAAAUUUCGGCCACUUAAUCUGAGUGACACCACUGGGAGCGAAUAAUGCCGGGGCAACAAUAAAGCAUCUAUAAUCACCCCAGAUGUUCUCUUCCUUACAUUCGGGUCACAGUCGACUGGGAGUCGCGACGUGCCGAUAACAAAACCGUCAGCUCUAACCUUAACGUGCUCUUUUUCACUGAUUUCUCCAUUCAUCGGCGGUCCAAUGCAGAUGGUCGGUUCCGACUUACCCUUGGAAUUCGUAUGUAGUUGUGCGACAGUGUUUAGUGGAAGCGGCGGAUAUACCUAGUCGAGUAAUGGUAAAAAAAGGGGGGGUAGACGUCUGCAAUGAAUUUAGUGGCCACUCAUAAGUACUCAGGAAUUCGCCCAAUAUUAUGGAAUCAGAUCGGAAUGUGAAAUUGGACAUCUCUGAAUGUUGGACACGUGAUCUACUUGGGAUGCGACAAGGAACAACCAUGCUGCUGAUUUUUUUAUAUACGCAUUUAUGUAUCUUAUUUAUUAAAUACAGUGAGUCUCAAAACUCCUGAUACACUAUUAAAAUAUUCAUUUAAAGCCAUAUUCAUAUUUAAAACCAAUUUUCUUUCUGCUGAAAUUUAUUUUUUUUAACACUAUAAAUAUAUAAUUUUUUUAAACACAAUCCAACUUGCAAAUAGAUGUUAAGGUUACAAAAAAAUUAAACAAUAUUUUAAAUUUUAAAAAUGAAUGUUUUGUAAGCCCGCGUUAUAAGUCUAUAACCGCUUGGAAUCUCUCGACAUAGAUAAAACUAAAGUUUCAGUUAUGCUUGAAAUAAUUUCAGCCCAUGCUGACUGUAAAGCAGUGUAAUAUGUAGACUUUUGUGACUCGCUGUAUGUCAAAUAAAAUUAACAUAUUCAUUUUUUUCCUGAAACUAUUUAUUUAAAUCCCUUGUCCCCUUUUCAUAUUUUAAAACUGAAGUAUUAAAAAUUAAUUAAAAAAUUUAAUGUUAUUCUCAAGGGCAAGGUCCUAGUUAAAAAAACAUGUUCAGUAUUACUAGAGAUAUAGUGGCCUAUAAUACAGGAACUUAUGAAGCAACUAUGAAAAAAAUUCGCGGUUUUCGAUAAUAAGUUUGAAUGAAGCAUUUUUACGGGAGUAUUUUCUCAAAAUAAUGUCUAGACCCACUAAAUAUUCAUUCAAAAAGGAGUUUAGUGUGUGGAUGUCGUUCUUACAAAGAAAAUUGAGCAAGGUGCAGCUUAGUGGAAAGGCAUGCCUACGAAAAUGUAGCCACUUGAGGGGCAUCAAUUUUUACCGUUAUAGGGCCGCUAUAAUAUUAUUUAAUACCUAUAUGUUAUACAGCAAGAUUUAUUUGAUUUUUAUUAUAUUUUUUCCUUUUCAAUUAGCCAAACGAAAGUGAUUAAACUAGGAAGUUAUUUGAAACAUGUCAUAACGGCAGGUACCCUAAAAUUUACCACGGUCUUUUGCUAUCGACUAGAUUGCAGUAGCUGGUUGCUGUUCGUUGUUCAUUUGGUGAACUUCGAGAAGCCAUGCAUAUUUCACCCAAUGACCUGCACUUUGCGCCAUUUUCUUUCUAAACAACGAUUUCCACACACAUAACUCGUUUUCUAAGAACAUUUAACGUGAUAGGUGUAGAUCACAUUUCCUGUAUUAUCGUUAGUUAUAGCAGAACCUCCAUAUCUGCACUCGCUAAAUGCUUGAACACCUUAUAAUUAAGACUCAACUUUACGAAACGUGAUAAAAUGUUUUGUGCACUUGUAACACAUCACUGAAUUGAAGAAAAUUUUACGCUCUUUCCAAAAAUCGAAAAAUUCAAUAUGGCCAUCACAAAAAAAAAGAAAGUAACGCCGGUUGCGAGAUAACAACAGGCGGUGGAGAUGUCAUACACGCCAUCUUAAUCAUCUUAAAAAAAUGUCUUAAUAAUGUCACAUUUUGACAGCUGUCCAUUUAACCCUUUUGGAUUUACUGACGAAAAACGCGAUCCUCCAUUUUCAGUUUUUCGCCGAUAUUUCCCAAACUAAUUGACCGAUCUUAAAUCUAAAGCCGGUUAUCAAAUGCACUAAGUUUCCUCUAAAACUUUCCCCACCUAUUCGU